This 903-nucleotide ribosomal RNA is filed under the name Escherichia coli. RNAcentral describes it as "partial 23S ribosomal RNA". It matches the Rfam family "Bacterial large subunit ribosomal RNA", at positions 1 to 946 of the family's 2925-position model. The record is from RNAcentral. Lineage: Bacteria; Pseudomonadati; Pseudomonadota; Gammaproteobacteria; Enterobacterales; Enterobacteriaceae.
GGUUAAGCGACUAAGCGUACACGGUGGAUGCCCUGGCAGUCAGAGGCGAUGAAGGACGUGCUAAUCUGCGAUAAGCGUCGGUGAGGUGAUAUGAACCGUUAUAACCGGCGAUUUCCGAAUGGGGAAACCCAGUGUGUUUCGACACACUAUCAUUAACUGAAUCCAUAGGUUAAUGAGGCGAACCGGGGGAACUGAAACAUCUAAGUACCCCGAGGAAAAGAAAUCAACCGAGAUUCCCCCAGUAGCGGCGAGCGAACGGGGAGGAGCCCAGAGCCUGAAUCAGUGUGUGUGUUAGUGGAAGCGUCUGGAAAGGCGCGCGAUACAGGGUGACAGCCCCGUACACAAAAAUGCACAUAUUGUGAGCUCGAUGAGUAGGGCGGGACACGUGGUAUCCUGUCUGAAUAUGGGGGGACCAUCCUCCAAGGCUAAAUACUCCUGACUGACCGAUAGUGAACCAGUACCGUGAGGGAAAGGCGAAAAGAACCCCGGCGAGGGGAGUGAAAAAGAACCUGAAACCGUGUACGUACAAGCAGUGGGAGCCUCUUAAUGGGGUGACUGCGUACCUUUUGUAUAAUGGGUCAGCGACUUAUAUUCUGUAGCAAGGUUAACCGAAUAGGGGAGCCGAAGGGAAACCGAGUCUUAACUGGGCGUUAAGUUGCAGGGUAUAGACCCGAAACCCGGUGAUCUAGCCAUGGGCAGGUUGAAGGUUGGGUAACACUAACUGGAGGACCGAACCGACUAAUGUUGAAAAAUUAGCGGAUGACUUGUGGCUGGGGGUGAAAGGCCAAUCAAACCGGGAGAUAGCUGGUUCUCCCCGAAAGCUAUUUAGGUAGCGCCUCGUGAAUUCAUCUCCGGGGGUAGAGCACUGUUUCGGCAAGGGGGUCAUCCCGACUUACCAACCCG